Molecule: ribosomal RNA, 301 nt
Filed under: uncultured bacterium
Lineage: Bacteria
Description: partial 16S ribosomal RNA
Rfam family: Bacterial small subunit ribosomal RNA
Source: RNAcentral
CAGUAGCCACGGUAAUACGAAGGAUGCAAGCGUUACUCGGAAUUACUGGGCGUAAAGCGUGCGUAGGUGGUGGUUUAAGUCCGUUGUGAAAGCCCUGGGCUCAACCUAGGAAUUGCAGUGGAUACUGGGUCACUAGAGUGUGGUAGAGGAUAGUGGAAUUUCCGGUGUAGCAGUGAAAUGCGUAGAGAUCGGAAGGAACAUCUGUGGCGAAGGCGACUAUCUGGGCCAACACUGACACUGAGGCACGAAAGCGUGGGGAGCAAACAGGAUUAGAUACCCCAGUAGUCCCUGUCUCUUAUAC